AGAGUUUGAUUCCUGGCUCAGGAUGAACGCUGGCGGCGUGCUUAACACAUGCAAGUCGAACGAUGAAGACCGUGCUUGCACGGUUGGAUUAGUGGCGAACGGGUGAGUAUCACGUGAGUAACCUUCCCUUGACUCUGGGAUAAGCCCGGGAAACUGGGUCUAAUACCGGAUACGACCAGUCCUCGCAUGGGGUGCUGGUGGAAAGAUUUAUCGGUCUUGGAUGGACUCGCGGCCUAUCAGCUUGUUGGUGAGGUAAUGGCUCACCAAGGCGAUGACGGGUAGCCGGCCUGAGAGGGUGACCGGCCACACUGGGACUGAGACACGGCCCAGACUCCUACGGGAGGCAGCAGUGGGGAAUAUUGCACAAUGGGCGAAAGCCUGAUGCAGCGACGCCGCGUGCGGGAUGACGGCCUUCGGGUUGUAAACCGCUUUCAGCACGGAAGAAGCGAAAGUGACGGUACCUGCAGAAGAAGCGCCGGCUAACUACGUGCCAGCAGCCGCGGUAAUACGUAGGGCGCGAGCGUUAUCCGGAAUUAUUGGGCGUAAAGAGCUCGUAGGCGGUUUGUCACGUCUGCUGUGAAAGCCCGAGGCUCAACCUCGGGUGUGCAGUGGGUACGGGCAGACUAGAGUGCAGUAGGGGAGACUGGAAUUCCUGGUGUAGCGGUGAAAUGCGCAGAUAUCAGGAGGAACACCGAUGGCGAAGGCAGGUCUCUGGGCUGUUACUGACGCUGAGGAGCGAAAGCAUGGGGAGCGAACAGGAUUAGAUACCCUGGUAGUCCAUGCCGUAAACGUUGGGCACUAGGUGUGGGGGACAUUCCACGUUUUCCGCGCCGUAGCUAACGCAUUAAGUGCCCCGCCUGGGGAGUACGGCCGCAAGGCUAAAACUCAAAGGAAUUGACGGGGGCCCGCACAAGCGGCGGAGCAUGCGGAUUAAUUCGAUGCAACGCGAAGAACCUUACCAAGGCUUGACAUGGACCGGAUCGCUGCAGAGAUGCAGUUUCCCUUCGGGGUCGGUUCACAGGUGGUGCAUGGUUGUCGUCAGCUCGUGUCGUGAGAUGUUGGGUUAAGUCCCGCAACGAGCGCAACCCCUAUCCUAUGUUGCCAGCACGUGAUGGUGGGGACUCAUGGGAGACUGCCGGGGUCAACUCGGAGGAAGGUGGGGACGACGUCAAAUCAUCAUGCCCCUUAUGUCUUGGGCUUCACGCAUGCUACAAUGGCCGGUACAAUGGGUUGCGAUACUGUGAGGUGGAGCUAAUCCCUAAAAGCCGGUCUCAGUUCGGAUCGAAGUCUGCAACUCGACUUCGUGAAGUUGGAGUCGCUAGUAAUCGCAGAUCAGCAACGCUGCGGUGAAUACGUUCCCGGGCCUUGUACACACCGCCCGUCAAGUCACGAAAGUGGGUAACACCCGAAGCCGGUGGCCUAACCCUUGUGGGGGGAGCCGUCGAAGGUGGGACUCGCGAUUGGGACUAAGUCGUA
RNAcentral lists this ribosomal RNA (1476 nucleotides) under Nesterenkonia sp. Tibet-IBa2. Its description in RNAcentral is "16S ribosomal RNA". It matches the Rfam family "Bacterial small subunit ribosomal RNA". The record is from RNAcentral. Lineage: Bacteria; Bacillati; Actinomycetota; Actinomycetes; Micrococcales; Micrococcaceae.